CUCUCUCACUCUCCUCAUUUUCUCAAUUUCUCUCUCAAUUGAUCUCUCCCACUCCUAUCUUUAGUCUCUUCGGUCACCUCAUUCCUCGAUUUCCCUAUAUCAGUGUAUGUGUCCCCAGAUAUCGUGAGGUUGGUGAGUGUAUCCGUGAUCCAGAAGAAAUGAAAGAUGAUAAGUGGAAGAAUAGAGUGUCUUGUUGUGAUUGUAUAAGGUGGAGAAGAUG
RNAcentral lists this long non-coding RNA (220 nucleotides) under Capsicum annuum. RNAcentral's name for it is "long non-coding RNA (CANN_LNC021723)". The record is from RNAcentral. Lineage: Eukaryota; Viridiplantae; Streptophyta; Magnoliopsida; Solanales; Solanaceae.